AGCAACAGUUUCCAAAAUUGCCUGGUAAUAUCAAACAAGUUAUAUUCAGCAUAGGCUUGUUCAAGAGAUACAAAAGGUAAAGAAUCAGAAACCUCAUUAACAGACAUAUCCAUUAAAAUAUUUAAACCACCAGCCACAUGGAUUUUCUUUUCCCAUUGGUGGAAUGACAAAACUUUCAUUACACCCAGAAUUCAACAAACAGUUUUUGCCUUAUCAUAACUUCUUUUUUUAAGCUGCCUUAUCAUAGCUUAAUGUAGCAUAGCCUUAUCAUAACUUAAUGUAGCAUAGCAACUCAGGGGCAAAAAAAAACCCUUGAUCUAAUGGGUGGUAUAAGGUCCAAAUGCUCUUCAAUUAAAUCUGUGCCCAAUUGUAUAACUUCAGACCAGUCUAUUAAUUAAUAACUGUCACUGGACUUU
RNAcentral lists this unclassified non-coding RNA (416 nucleotides) under Hevea brasiliensis (rubber tree). The record is from RNAcentral. Lineage: Eukaryota; Viridiplantae; Streptophyta; Magnoliopsida; Malpighiales; Euphorbiaceae.